RNAcentral lists this unclassified non-coding RNA (570 nucleotides) under Hevea brasiliensis (rubber tree). The record is from RNAcentral. Lineage: Eukaryota; Viridiplantae; Streptophyta; Magnoliopsida; Malpighiales; Euphorbiaceae.
AAGAAGAAGAAGAAGAACAAAGACCUAGAAAUGGCAGUCAAGAUGAUAUUUUUAUUGAAGAAGCAACAAGAGGGGUCUAAUUUCACACCCCGUUGACUAUUUUGAAAGGAAAGGGUCCCAUAAAAAUUAAAAUUAGCAAAUGGUUCUAAUCUUCCACUUGCAUAUAGUUUUGAAAACCUUCAAAAGUCAGCAAUUCCAUUCGUCUCGAUGUCUUCCCUUCUUCUGCUGACUUUCUGUUUCUUCGGAAGUUUAUUUAUAUCCCAGAUUUCUAGCAAUAAAUAUGUGGGUCAAUUUUAAAAUCGGGUUUAAUCCUCUUCACUCGUCUGAUUUCCAGAUUUCACUUCCAGAAAAUCUGGAUUAUUGUCGCGGCUUAAUUGUUUCUUCCAAGUGGGGAAAUUCAAUUUACAACAAAUUGUAGACAAGUGGGAUUUCAUGUUAUGAGAGAAUUGAUAUUUGUAGAAUUAGUUUUCAAUUUUAGGUCAAUUUGACCCAAAAUGAUAUUAUUUAACUUGUACUAAUAUGAUAUUAUUUCGACUAAAAAGACAAAAAUAUAGACAAAUAAAAGACUUG